This 800-nucleotide ribosomal RNA is filed under the name uncultured bacterium. RNAcentral's name for it is "bacterial SSU rRNA". It matches the Rfam family "Bacterial small subunit ribosomal RNA", at positions 8 to 822 of the family's 1533-position model. The record is from RNAcentral.
AGAGUUUGAUCCUGGCUCAGGACGAACGCUGGCGGCGUGCUUAACACAUGCAAGUCGAGCGAUGAAGUUUCUUCGGAAAUGGAUUAGCGGCGAACGGGUGAGGAACUCGUGAAGAAUCUGCCCUCCACUUUGGGAUAACACCGGGAAACCGGUGCUAAUACCGAAUAUUGAAACAUAAGUGGCAUCACUGAGUUUUGAAAGAAUUUCGGUGGAGGAUGACUUCGCGGCCUAUCAGCUAGUUGGUGAGGUAAUGGCUCACCAAGGCAACGACGGGUAGCCGGCCUGAGAGGGCGACCGGCCACACUGGGACUGAGACACGGCCCAGACUCCUACGGGAGGCAGCAGUGGGGAAUAUUGGGCAAUGGAGGAAACUCUGACCCAGCGACGCCGCGUGCGGGAUGAAGGCCUUCGGGUUGUAAACCGCUUUCAGUAGGGAAGAAGCGAAAGUGACGGUACCUACAAAAGAAGCACCGGCCAACUAUGUGCCAGCAGCCGCGGUAAUACAUAGGGUGCAAGCGUUGUCCGGAAUUAUUGGGCGUAAAGAGCUCGUAGGUGGUUCGUCACGUCGGAUGUGAAACUCUGGGGCUUAACCCCAGACCUGCAUUCGAUACGGGCGAGCUUGAGUAUGGUAGGGGAGUCUGGAAUUCCUGGUGUAGCGGUGGAAUGCGCAGAUAUCAGGAGGAACACCAAUGGCGAAGGCAGGACUCUGGGCCAUUACUGACACUGAGGAGCGAAAGCGUGGGGAGCGAACAGGAUUAGAUACCCUGGUAGUCCACGCCGUAAACGGUGGGCACUAGUUG